UGUAAGAAUUUAUGGUCGAACAGACCAAAUUUUUAAGCUGCUACACCUAAAAAUAAUCUUAAUCCAACAUCGAGGUCGCAAUCUUUUUUAUCGAUAAGUUCUCUUUAAAAAUAUUACGCUGUUAUCCCUUAAGUAACUUAUUCUUUUGAUCAUUAAUAAUGGAUCAACUCAUUAAUUUAUGAAAAAAAGUUUCUUAAAUUUUCCUAUCACCCCAAUAAAAUAUUAUAUAAAGCUUUAAAGGGUCUUCUCGUCCUUUAAUAACAUUUAAGCUUUUUAACUUAAAAAUUAAAUUCUACUACAAUUAAAAUAAGACAGUUAAUAUUUCAUUCAAUCAUUCAUUCCAGCUUCUAAUUAAGAAACUAUUGAUUAUGCUACCUUUGCACAGUCAUAAUACCGCGGCCUUUU
RNAcentral lists this ribosomal RNA (405 nucleotides) under Thaumapsylla sp. P4496F. RNAcentral describes it as "partial 16S ribosomal RNA". The record is from RNAcentral. Lineage: Eukaryota; Metazoa; Arthropoda; Insecta; Siphonaptera; Ischnopsyllidae.